Long non-coding RNA from Syngnathoides biaculeatus (alligator pipefish), 3587 nucleotides. RefSeq lists it as uncharacterized. The transcript is spliced from 13 exons. The record is from RefSeq and is a predicted model, not a curated record. NCBI's taxonomy places the organism in Eukaryota, Metazoa, Chordata, Actinopteri, Syngnathiformes, Syngnathidae.
UGGUGCAUGGCGGGCUCGUCCAGGGGCAAGAGAACCGAAACGUCUGGCUGCAGGGAGAGGAAGGAAACAACACCAAAGCUUUUGCUUCGUUAUUAUUUCACGGAGACCACUUGAGCAAGUCAGCGGCACGAAGUUUCUCCUUUUGCUCAGGAUGAUCAUCCUUUGUGAACUAACAUCGGAAUACAAGCUCUUAUUGGAAAAUACAGCAUUAGGGUCUCACCGGCUGUACAAAACCUCAAGAUGAGCCCAAUUGUGUCUUUGUGUAUAUAAUAAAUGAACCUAUUUAGGAAGACAGAUACAAUUAGCUUGGGGGAAAAAUAGUCUCCAUUCUUUAAUUGUUUUCCCUGUAUUUUUGCAAUAUGCGGACUGUCUGUAUUAUUACAAGCCUCUGUCUGCAAAUGAACAGAGGCAAUUAUGCUCCUGACUCUUAAUUGCAUGACAGAUGAACGCCCCUGACACCUUCAUGCGUUGAUGAAAUUACACUUGGAAAGGUUUAUGCUGAGCCAAAGGAUCUGUUCUGGCUAACAGAGCCCCUGGGUCAUCGCCGCAUCAUUACAAGACAGCAAGGUUGGAGUCAGGAGCGCACGACCUGCUCUCACUGCUGUUUCCGGAGCACUGAUUUCCAGUUGGAAAGAGGACAUCACAAUGACGGACACGCAACUGGGCCCCCCUGGAGUCGCACGGGGACCACUGGGACCAGCUGGACCAACUCUCUGCAAACAAGAAUGAUAGUCAAUCCCAGAACUGUGUCUUUUUGUUUUUGGGGUGUUUGUGUGCACCUGGACAGGCUAGAGUGUUGCAUAGUGCCUCUUCAGUGUGCAGCCCAAGGCAGAUGUCCCCUCCGUAUGCAGGCGGGGGGUUACUGCAAGUUCGAGUCCUCACGUAAUGUCCUCCCCCGCAUGUCACAGAGCACUUGGACCAUGAAGACCAGCAGGACCAGCUUCCAUCCACUAAGGGACAAAGGGGAGACCCUUUCACUCCAGUAUAAACUCCUUUCACAGUGAAGCACCAGAUAAAUACGUUUGAAGACCUGCUGAUGCUUUGGGACUUGUGUGCAGGACAAGGGGUGGUGUUGCAUUCUUGGUACUCCUGUGCAGUCCCCUGGCAGGUCUGACCUCCAUACUUGGGCUCUGGGUUGUUGCAAGCCCGUUUUCUGCUGCGGAUUCCACGGCUGCAGUCUCUGCUGCACUGGGUCCAGGAAGACCACGAGGACCAGGCGCCAUUGACAGGAGACACAGAGUUUACCUUGCACUCGUCCUCAACCUCUGCAUAUGCCUGACCUUGGCAGCUCACAGCCUCAUCACCUCACAAGCUGGCGUGAGCACCGACAGGGCCCGUCGAGACGUGUGCUCUUUAAUGAUUCUAAGCAGCCGAUGGUAGACUGACCCGCCGGCCGCUGUGACCUGAUACUCUUUAUCCAGACUUCUUUAAGGUUGGGAUAUUGAGUGGGCGCUUGUGCUGAUUUUGUCGGUGAGGUUCAUUGUGUUUCAAGCAUUUAGACAACAGCAACCUCUCCUCUUAUUGCUAUGGAAAAAUGCAAACAUGUACAGUUACAAACGGUAACAAAAAGAGUGUCGUUACUUAAACAAAUUUGAACCUUCUUAUGGUAUAACAAGAUGAUCACUGGCCAAAGGGUACAAUUUUUCCCCACAAAUUAAUCAGAUCCAAUAUAAGAGUGGUAUCAAAGUUUUGUAUAGUGUGCAUCAUAAUGAGAGCUGUAUUUAUAUUUUUAUUACUGAUAUUUAUUGAACACUGAUUUUCUCCCUUCCGUAAUGCAUUAGAUCCCAGCAACUAGCUCGCUUUCACUAUGAUGUCGUACAGUUCUACUUUACUACAAACACAAACCAAAAUGGGACUCCUUAUGGCAUUGGCCUACAUCAAGUUUUGUUGAAGGUGUUAAGGUGAGAAAGGAAGAAUGCCAUGCUACCUUCCGGAAAGAGGUGAGACAGGCUCUCGAUGGACAAGAGGAGCUCCCGGAAGACUGAACUGCUACAGCCAAGAUCGUCUAGUGGGAAUCACUUGAACUCAGUUUCUGACAGAUGGUUGGCCCUUAAACACAUCAUCAAGUUCUUCGGGUGUGUGGAACUUGCACAGUAACUCAACGUUGACAACAUUGGGGUAUCUAAAGGUACAUGGAAAUCAUUUGAAAACAGAUGCUCGACGGAAUAAAUCUGAACUAUAUAAACCAAAGGUAUGCUUUUGAAAAGUGCUGGUUAAAAGAUUUGUGCCGAUGUGGCCCUCAGUUUAAUGGUUUUCAAUGUAUACCUGUAAAGUGGCAAAGCAUGACGAGGUCCUUUUGACCUCAACCUUUAUCAACUGCAUGUGUCUUCCAGAACAUUUUCCAAGAUUGCACACUGGCUAUGUACAACCUCUCCCAAAAUUAUCAAACACCAUUCUCAUUGUUGGUGCUCGAACAAAAAAAAAAGAGGUGAAGUUAUCUUGAUUCAAGAUAAAAAAAGAAAAGUCACAUUUGUACUAUUGUGAGAAACCAAAUUUUCCUUUCCCAAACUUUUUCAUACUGGAGGUAUCAAGUCUUUAAGAGCGACAAAGUGUGAGAACAAAACAUAACAGCUUUAUUCCUAAAUUUUAAGCACAGGACCAGAUCUUUUUUUUCCCCCCACUCAAACUUGAUUAGAAGGCACAGUCCAAACCUGCUGAGAGUUGUUUUUGCAAGUCCAAGGCAUCACUUCAUUGCAAACAGAUCAGAGAGGAUUGGAUGACUAAUUGCAUUUUUUAACUCAUUUAAGGAGACGUCAAUUCAGUUGUGGUUCUUCUGUAAUAACAACUGACGAUGUGUACGUUUGGCUUACUGGUACAGUAAACUGUCCCCAGUUUAGACCCUUGGCAUGCCAUAUAUUUAAGUUGUUUGCCUUCUUUUUCACCCAACUGCUUUUUUCCCCAUCACCAGUCAAGACACUGCCAAGAUGGAUGCUGUCAAAUGUGUUUGUGUGUGUGUGUGUGACAAAGACAGCUGGGAUAUUCUCCGGCACUCUGGAACCCUCAUGAGGAUAAGCGACUCAGAAAAUGGAUGGAUGGAUAGAAACAAUUCAGGGGAAUUCUCCUGUCAUAGCCCUGAGGCUGCAUUCAUCCUACAAGUGAGACACAUCCUGUCAUCUUCUUUUGUCACUUGGUGUGAUUAUAAAUGUCAUCUGACGUCAGGUUCCGGGUGGCGAUUUCAAAUGAAACAUGCUCCUGGUGCCUGGUGGUGCUCCUUGCAACCCCUCAAGGUGCAAGCAUUGGAGGAGACAGAUAAUCUGGAAUGAUGACGCAGGAAAAAGAAUCAUUUUCAACGGCGCAAAAGUUGGAAGUAUUGAAGUAGAGCUGAAACAUGAGACCAAACAGAGGAAGUAAAAGAGUUUGAAAAAAAAGGGAACGUUUUGGUGGACAUCCACAGAAAGAUGGUGGAGAUGCACCAAGCCAGAAACAUUCAGAGGGAAAGACAACAUCAUCUCACCAUCGCAGGUUGGGGUCCGGGAUGCGAGCCUUGCACGUGUAGCGGAAACGCUGCUCGUAGUGACCGCCGCUGUCGGAAAUGUUCACCGGUGUCCAAGGCGUCCACGGAGUGGUUUUCUUCAGGUCAGGACAAG